UACGUAGGGGGCAAGCGUUGUCCGGAAUCAUUGGGCGUAAAGCGCGUGUAGGCGGCCCGAUAAGUCCGCUGUGAAAGUCCAGGGCUCAACCCUGGAAUGCCGGUGGAUACUGUCGGGCUCGAGUCCGGAAGAGGCGAGUGGAAUUCCUGGUGUAGCGGUGGAAUGUGUAGAUAUCGGGAAGAACACCAAAGGCGAAAGCACUCUGCUGGGCCGAAACUGACACUGAUAGACGAAAGCUAGGGGAGCAAAUGGG
RNAcentral lists this ribosomal RNA (253 nucleotides) under uncultured bacterium. RNAcentral's name for it is "partial 16S ribosomal RNA". It matches the Rfam family "Bacterial small subunit ribosomal RNA", at positions 524 to 776 of the family's 1533-position model. The record is from RNAcentral.